This is a small nuclear RNA of Dromiciops gliroides (monito del monte), 105 nucleotides long. NCBI's taxonomy places the organism in Eukaryota, Metazoa, Chordata, Mammalia, Microbiotheria, Microbiotheriidae. The record is from RefSeq and is a predicted model, not a curated record.
GCCAUCUUCAGAAGCACAUGUAGAAAAACUGGACCAAUACCAAGAAUAUUAGCAUAACCUUUGUGCAAGGAUGACAUACAAAUUUGUGAAGCAUUGUAUAAUUUC